UACGGAGGGUGCGAGCGUUAAUCGGAAUUACUGGGCGUAAAGCGCAUGCAGGCGGUCUGUUAAGCAAGAUGUGAAAGCCCGGGGCUCAACCUCGGAACAGCAUUUUGAACUGGCAGACUAGAGUCUUGUAGAGGGGGGUAGAAUUUCAGGUGUAGCGGUGAAAUGCGUAGAGAUCUGAAGGAAUACCGGUGGCGAAGGCGGCCCCCUGGACAAAGACUGACGCUCAGAUGCGAAAGCGUGGGGAGCAAAC
This 250-nucleotide ribosomal RNA is filed under the name uncultured bacterium. RNAcentral describes it as "partial 16S ribosomal RNA". It matches the Rfam family "Bacterial small subunit ribosomal RNA", at positions 524 to 773 of the family's 1533-position model. RNAcentral also lists the same sequence under 2 other names. The record is from RNAcentral.